Molecule: ribosomal RNA, 376 nt
Filed under: uncultured bacterium
Lineage: Bacteria
Description: bacterial SSU rRNA
Rfam family: Bacterial small subunit ribosomal RNA
Source: RNAcentral
UACGUAGGUGGCAAGCGUUGUCCGGAAUUACUGGGCGUAAAGGGCGAGUAGGCGGUAAUACAAGUCAGAUGUGAAAGGCGAGGGCUCAACCCUCGGAUUGCAUUUGAAACUGUAUGACUUGAGUGCGGUAGAGGAAAGUGGAAUUCCCAGUGUAGCGGUGAAAUGCGUAGAUAUUGGGAGGAACACCAGUGGCGAAGGCGACUUUCUGGGCCGUAACUGACGCUGAGGCGCGAAAGCGUGGGGAGCGAACAGGAUUAGAUACCCUGGUAGUCCACGCCGUAAACGAUGGAUGCUAGGUGUGGGAGGUAUCGACCCCUUCCGUGCCGGAGUUAACGCAAUAAGUACCCCGUCUGGGGAGUACGGUCGCAAGACUGAA